This 1554-nucleotide ribosomal RNA is filed under the name Escherichia coli. Its description in RNAcentral is "bacterial SSU rRNA". It matches the Rfam family "Bacterial small subunit ribosomal RNA". Lineage: Bacteria; Pseudomonadati; Pseudomonadota; Gammaproteobacteria; Enterobacterales; Enterobacteriaceae. The record is from RNAcentral.
AAAUUGAAGAGUUUGAUCAUGGCUCAGAUUGAACGCUGGCGGCAGGCCUAACACAUGCAAGUCGAACGGUAACAGGAAACAGCUUGCUGUUUCGCUGACGAGUGGCGGACGGGUGAGUAAUGUCUGGGAAACUGCCUGAUGGAGGGGGAUAACUACUGGAAACGGUAGCUAAUACCGCAUAACGUCGCAAGACCAAAGAGGGGGACCUUCGGGCCUCUUGCCAUCGGAUGUGCCCAGAUGGGAUUAGCUAGUAGGUGGGGUAACGGCUCACCUAGGCGACGAUCCCUAGCUGGUCUGAGAGGAUGACCAGCCACACUGGAACUGAGACACGGUCCAGACUCCUACGGGAGGCAGCAGUGGGGAAUAUUGCACAAUGGGCGCAAGCCUGAUGCAGCCAUGCCGCGUGUAUGAAGAAGGCCUUCGGGUUGUAAAGUACUUUCAGCGGGGAGGAAGGGAGUAAAGUUAAUACCUUUGCUCAUUGACGUUACCCGCAGAAGAAGCACCGGCUAACUCCGUGCCAGCAGCCGCGGUAAUACGGAGGGUGCAAGCGUUAAUCGGAAUUACUGGGCGUAAAGCGCACGCAGGCGGUUUGUUAAGUCAGAUGUGAAAUCCCCGGGCUCAACCUGGGAACUGCAUCUGAUACUGGCAAGCUUGAGUCUCGUAGAGGGGGGUAGAAUUCCAGGUGUAGCGGUGAAAUGCGUAGAGAUCUGGAGGAAUACCGGUGGCGAAGGCGGCCCCCUGGACGAAGACUGACGCUCAGGUGCGAAAGCGUGGGGAGCAAACAGGAUUAGAUACCCUGGUAGUCCACGCCGUAAACGAUGUCGACUUGGAGGUUGUGCCCUUGAGGCGUGGCUUCCGGAGCUAACGCGUUAAGUCGACCGCCUGGGGAGUACGGCCGCAAGGUUAAAACUCAAAUGAAUUGACGGGGGCCCGCACAAGCGGUGGAGCAUGUGGUUUAAUUCGAUGCAACGCGAAGAACCUUACCUGGUCUUGACAUCCACGGAAGUUUUCAGAGAUGAGAAUGUGCCUUCGGGAACCGUGAGACAGGUGCUGCAUGGCUGUCGUCAGCUCGUGUUGUGAAAUGUUGGGUUAAGUCCCGCAACGAGCGCAACCCUUAUCCUUUGUUGCCAGCGGUCCGGCCGGGAACUCAAAGGAGACUGCCAGUGAUAAACUGGAGGAAGGUGGGGAUGACGUCAAGUCAUCAUGGCCCUUACGACCAGGGCUACACACGUGCUACAAUGGCGCAUACAAAGAGAAGCGAACUCGCGAGAGCAAGCGGACCUCAUAAAGUGCGUCGUAGUCCGGAUUGGAGUCUGCAACUCGACUCCAUGAAGUCGGAAUCGCUAGUAAUCGUGGAUCAGAAUGCCACGGUGAAUACGUUCCCGGGCCUUGUACACACCGCCCGUCACACCAUGGGAGUGGGUUGCAAAAGAAGUAGGUAGCUUAACCUUCGGGAGGGCGCUUACCACUUUGUGAUUCAUGACUGGGGUGAAGUCGUAACAAGGUAACCGUAGGGGAACCUGCGGUUGGAUCACCUCCUUACCUUAAAGAAGC